CCUGACCUAAGUGCAGCACCCUGAGAAUAAGAAUCAGAUAUCAAUAAAUGUAAUAGUUUAGUGAGAAUCUAACUAACAGUGAAAAGUGAAAUACAAGCAAAAAGCAAACCAAAGCUACCAAAUUAAGAAUGCCUUCAUCAGCAAAAAACACUGUACCACUGCUUACAUGAAGCCUGGUUUUUGAACUUAGCCAUUUUUAUUAUUAAUAUUUUUUAGAAUUUUGAAAAAUUUUUAAAACGCAGGCUGGAAAAUUUCUAAUUAAGUCACUUAAAUCUACUCAUAAACUCCAAUAAGAAAUUAAACCAGUAUAAAUCAGGACUCAGUGUAAGAAAGAUAACAAAUUUUUAUGUAUAUUUUCUCUAUAAGCUGUUUGACCCAAAAUUAGGAGGAUUUGAGUGUCAAUUGGAACGUAAUUUUAUGUCCUAUAUAAAGUUUAAAAAAUUUGGAAGCUACUACUUAGUGAGGAAAAUAUGGGGGACAAAGAGAUUCUCAGCCGCCAAAGUGUAAGGGGAGAAUAGAUAAUCUGGGAAAGUAGCAAGUGACUACUCCUCCGGGCUUUGGAGGCAAGCCAACACAAUUACUCUCACCCUGUUCUCUGAGGUGGCAGCUGCAGCAAGAUCAGGAUGCGGAAAACAACCAUGAAAUCAAAGGGUUACAGACUUUGGAGCCAACUCUUCAUUCAUCUGUCGAUCAAGCAGAGCUCCAAACUUGGAUGACAGACCCUUGCCACUCAAUCUCUGUGUUGAAUGCUUAUGAACCACCUAAAGCAACGAAAGCCCUCAUGAAGGUCUAAUGUUAGCCUCACUAUCCCUCCUGUCUUUUUUUGCUGAUGGUAGUAGUAGCAUGAAUAUUUACCAGAGCCAAGAGUAUGCUGUCUUGCAAAUUCUGUUCUCCUAAUAUGUCUGGUUGGACAGUGUUAUUGUAUAAAGUCUACUGACAUUCUGCCAAAUGCCAAUUUAGAUUUUUUUUAAAUGGUUUGUGUUCUGAAAUUUACACACAUGGAGGAAAAACAGUUAUCCAUUUAAAUGCCUCACUUCUCAGUUGGAAAAGAAUUGGCAGCUCUUUUGUUUCUGUGAUGAAUGUAGUUAAGGAGAAGAUAGUUACCUGUGAGAGACAAGUAGUGAGAAGAAAUGACACCCAGGUCCUUUGUCUGGGAUCUGCAUCUUUAUUUGAGAAGAAUAAUUUCAUUAUUUCCAGGCAGUGAUAUCUUCAGAGUAGCUACUGAAGCAUUUAGUAAGAGACAGGAUAAAUAAAUGUACAAAGGGAGAGAGGAGCACAGAAAGGUGAAGUAAUUUAUCCAAGUUAUGCUAAUCAUGUUGGGCAGGGAAAAGAUUCCAGACUUUCUGUGUCCUGAGUCUAUAUUCCAGUUGCUAAGCAACUGUCCUGAAUAUAAGGGUGUCCAAAACACUGUAUAUCAGAUACUAUAGCAUUGGCACACUGACACCUCUGUUUUGAUUCAUGCCAUAACUGAUGUCUAAUAAAGAAAAUAA
This is a long non-coding RNA of Gallus gallus (chicken), 1490 nucleotides long. The record is from Ensembl. Lineage: Eukaryota; Metazoa; Chordata; Aves; Galliformes; Phasianidae.